This 1110-nucleotide long non-coding RNA is filed under the name Felis catus (domestic cat). RNAcentral's name for it is "lncRNA (ENSFCAG00000052026.1)". The record is from RNAcentral. Lineage: Eukaryota; Metazoa; Chordata; Mammalia; Carnivora; Felidae.
CCUUGCUUGGCUCCCGGAGUAAGCCCCUUCCCCUCUCUGGGCCUCGGCUUUCUUGCUGAUGUGAUUGAGGUGCUGGAAGGGGUCAGGGAUUUUUCCGAAACGGUUUAGGCUCCCUUUUUUCCGCGUGAGAGCCAAAUAAAAUGGAUGAAAGGGGCAGGGGGAGCCUCAGAGUCCCACUGGUGAGCCCAGCUGCUCUGCAGCCUCCCCUCCGAGGCCCCGGAGACGCCGUGCAGACACCUGAGGCUCCAAGGAGACCCGCCUGCAAAACAGAAGCAGCAGAAACGAUGCCUGGGAAGAGAAACAUGGGACUGGAAUUCUCACUUUGCCCCUUGUUUGCUGUGUGGUCUUGGGUCAGUCCUCUGACCUCUCUGUCCCAUCUGUAUCAUCUCCGCAGUAAGGAUGGGAAGUAGAAGGUAGACCUGGGUUUCCAGGGCCUGGGCCCCCUUGCUGCCUCGCUCUGUGCCUUGGCAAGCCCCCAGCCCCCUCCUUUCACUGGUCCCCAAAUCCGAUGGCAGACUGGGAGUCCUCAUUCCCGCCUCUCCCGGGUCUGCCUCUCCAGGGGCAUGACGGCUUUACGGAGUCCCCAGAGCACAGGCUGCCCCCUCCUCCCUCCCUGCCCGAUGGAGGAGAGAAAUCUGGAAGGCCCCUGGCAGCCCCCACGGCCCAGAAAUAGCAGGCCAGCUGGUGGGCGGCUGACCUCGGGACUCGGGGCCGGAACUGAGGCUUGUUGCCUGGCAACAGGCACCGUUCACACACCGUGGGUGGCAAGGGGUUCUGGCUGUGGCCCACGUCACCAGCCCAGCCCAGCUCGGCCCCCAGGGUGCGGGACGAGGCCGGCAGCGUGUCCUCGGAGGCUCCGAAGCCAGGCUUCCCCCCUGCAGGGGUAUUUCCGUGUGGUCCUCCCCGCCCCCAGCCUUCUAGCAUCUCCUAGAAGCACCCAGAUUGCGCAAGAAAGAGACAUCUGAGGUUCUCAGCUGCAGUUGCCCUGCACACCCUGACUGGUUUCCUGAAGAAUGAAUGACAAAGCUGACUGCUGCUUCACAGAGGAGAGGCAGAAAAGGAAAAUAGGGCACACGUUUUGUUAAGGCUUUUCAAGUGUCAGUGACUUAG